GCGACAUCCGUCGCCAAGUCCGAUGCUGAUCACAUCGAACUCGCGAACGUCCUAAACAGACAUAGUCAUCUCGCAAAGAUGACUCUCGUACAUCCGACACAAGGAUAAUAGCGCUAUAAAAGAAAUCCGAAAUUUUGGUCCAGCAGUUCCGGUUGGCUUAAAAAUUGUCUCCGGAGAGAUGCUCGAUUCGUAUCAGACAAGUCAUAUAAGCCGAGAACCUAUCGCAGACUUUAAAUCGGUACGAAUCAGGAAGAAAUCGCAACAGGAAAAACGAUAGCCGGCUAGUCACCGCACAAACCUUAAACCGAAAGUAAACCUAGGUCUUGCCCUAAACCCAGCGCACUGGUCUCUAACAUCUCAAGGCAUGAUAUAGAAAGAUACGAGAUCCCUAAACCAUGCCUCUAUGUUUAUAUUUGACAUCUUCAGAGCCUCCGCGAAGCCCACAUCUCGCGGAAAAACUCUCGAAACAGAUCUCGAAUGAAACAUUUCACAAUCGAAGAAGGAUAUGAGACGACAACUCAUCACCUUCCUUCACACUAUACACUAACUCAUAAAAAAGUGCCAUUUAAUUAUCUUAUCAUAAAAAAAGGCCGUUUAAGGCCGAAACAUAAAAACAUAAAAACAAAUCUCUCGCAAGAGAUCUAACCCAAGUCAUGCUCAGAACUCACGCCCCCUCUUAACCCGUCGCCUCAUCCGAGCCUGGAGCCGCGUCGGCUCCGUUUUCUCCAACCAUCGGGUCAUUCCCCUCUGGGUCUUCUGAACACGUCGGAAGGAAGCACGCGGAUUUCAUGUCAACUAGGAUGAGAUCGAAAUCUCCAUCCACGGCCGCCAUAUCUCCGUUACGGCCGGACAGUCGGGCCUCUUCGGCCUCCAAGGUCGGGGGAGCCUCACUUUGGAACGACCGAACCACGACCAUCCCGCCCUCAAUCGUCGCCAAAGCUAAGUCCCUGC
This 951-nucleotide long non-coding RNA is filed under the name Brassica napus (rape). RNAcentral's name for it is "long non-coding RNA (BNAP_LNC023935)". The record is from RNAcentral. Lineage: Eukaryota; Viridiplantae; Streptophyta; Magnoliopsida; Brassicales; Brassicaceae.